ACUAACUGCGUGCGAAAAUGAAGGAAAAUAAAUGGAUUAGGGAAAAAUCAAGAAGAAGAAAAAGAAGAGAAAGAUGGAAAAACUUGGAGAAUUUCAGCAAGAGGAGAGGGAGAAGAAUAGACGAGAAAUUUUUUUGUUUGGAAAAGAAAGUCAAAAUUCAGUUUUGGGAAAAAAAUAAAAUAAAAUCCCGAUAACCCCUAAAAUCCCUUAAUCUUCUCCCCUAAUUCCCACUAUACAUCCACUACUCAAAAUCCCCCAAUUACACAAUUCUAUCCCAAAAUCUAAGCAAAAAAACAAGACCUCCACCAUAAUAACACACCAUUUAAGUACCAGACCAGCAGGCCCAUUCUGAUGUAAUUUAC
This 362-nucleotide long non-coding RNA is filed under the name Gossypium raimondii (Peruvian cotton). RNAcentral's name for it is "long non-coding RNA (GRAI_LNC003952)". The record is from RNAcentral. Lineage: Eukaryota; Viridiplantae; Streptophyta; Magnoliopsida; Malvales; Malvaceae.